This is a non-coding RNA of Caenorhabditis elegans, 129 nucleotides long. The record is from Ensembl. NCBI's taxonomy places the organism in Eukaryota, Metazoa, Nematoda, Chromadorea, Rhabditida, Rhabditidae.
ACUCUCUAUCUCAGUUCCAGAUCAGUUACCUAACAUGGUGGUCGCAUGGCGGGCGCGCGCCAUUUCGUAAACAUCGUCAUUAAAGUGACAGAAAAGUGGCAGAAAGAAGGGGAAAGGGUGGUCUUCAAG